GAACUGAAGAGUUUGAUCAUGGCUCAGAUUGAACGCUGGCGGCAGGCCUAACACAUGCAAGUCGAGCGGAUGACGGGAGCUUGCUCCUUGAUUCAGCGGCGGACGGGUGAGUAAUGCCUAGGAAUCUGCCUGGUAGUGGGGGACAACGUUUCGAAAGGAACGCUAAUACCGCAUACGUCCUACGGGAGAAAGCAGGGGACCUUCGGGCCUUGCGCUAUCAGAUGAGCCUAGGUCGGAUUAGCUAGUUGGUGAGGUAAUGGCUCACCAAGGCGACGAUCCGUAACUGGUCUGAGAGGAUGAUCAGUCACACUGGAACUGAGACACGGUCCAGACUCCUACGGGAGGCAGCAGUGGGGAAUAUUGGACAAUGGGCGAAAGCCUGAUCCAGCCAUGCCGCGUGUGUGAAGAAGGUCUUCGG
RNAcentral lists this non-coding RNA (418 nucleotides) under Pseudomonas putida S11. RNAcentral describes it as "bacterial SSU rRNA". It matches the Rfam family "Bacterial small subunit ribosomal RNA", at positions 1 to 421 of the family's 1533-position model. The record is from RNAcentral. Lineage: Bacteria; Pseudomonadati; Pseudomonadota; Gammaproteobacteria; Pseudomonadales; Pseudomonadaceae.